GACAUCAGACCGAGCCCGCGCACAAUGGACCAUGACCAGCCAGCACAUGCGCACCCAUAGGCCAAACAAGGAAAGACGCGGCCAGCCAAGCCACAAGCUUUGUCAAGGGCCAAGCGGCAGGCAUCCGCAUGCGGAAACAAACAAGAAAAAGCCCCCAAAUGCAGCGCUCGGCCAAAGACAGCAAGCCGAGCCACAUGGUAGAAAUCCAAGCACAAGCAAGGGGCCAAAGAAGGCAGGAGCGCAUGCAGAAUCAAAGGAGUCUGCGGACUCUUCCAUAGCGAUUCGACGAGCAAGAGCAUGGGCAGCCAAGAUGCAGCAGGCCGCUGGAUGAAGGACCACAAGAAGGACAAGUCACCAAUCCGCGAGAGGGGCUACUGGAUCCGUGUCCCAGCCAAACAGAAGACGCGUCCCAGCCAGCCCGAGAGCAGCACAAGGCCAGCCAAGAAGAUCCCAAAUUAGGCAAACCGCGGACAAGUGGCAGCACUCACACGGAACACGCACCCCGGCCAACCGAACAACGCAUCCCGGGCGUCCAAAUACCCAGCAAAUCCAACACAUGGCCGCAGGAUUUCAAACUUACAAUGGAUCUCCUUACGGCUGAAUUAGAAUGCUUUUGAAUUUUGAAAUGUUUCUGCCAAUAAGCCAUGGGCAUUAGGCCUAUAUAACGGAGCCACUAGGGCCCUUCCAAUCAUCUAUUUUUUGCAUUGUAAAGGGUUUUCCCUUAGGUCCUUUAAGGAUUUUUCGGCCGCAAGGCUUGGGCUAGGGUGGGGUACAUCAACUCCCCUUAGAUUGUAGUAGGCUAGCAUGAUCCCUUCCCGAUCUUGCUAGAGUUCUUUUCUUUCGUUCUCUAUUGGAAUAGAAUCACUUUUCUAUCUUCCCCACAUCUUGAUUCUUCUCCUCAGCCAAGCACCAUCAUUAGAGUAGCAUAGGCGAGGUUACAAAGACAGCAAGAAGAUAGCGCGUUACGCACAUCAAAAACGGUCCCGCCAACCAUAACACAACUCCCUCGAAAGAUCCUUGGCGCGGGAUUUGGGACCGCAACACCCUGCGGGCCAACACUGGUGCUUUCAUUGAGAUAGAUCGUCGGACAAUCGACUAGGUUCAAGUCCACGGAAGGACGAUCUCGAGAGGUAACGCACUUAUCUUUCAUAUCUAUAUUCUCUUUGCAUAUUCAUAUGAGAUCUGAAGUUUAAAAUCAGAUCUGAAUUUUUCUUGUAUUUAUUUGAGAGAUUUGAUUGUAUUGGGGUAUUCAUAGUCUUGAUGUAUUGUGAGUCUUUCUUUGUAAGGGGAAAGAGUUCCCUUGAUCCUAUUUGUUCAAAACUAGGGAUGGCGCAUCGGGAAGGCUACUGGUAGUACCUAGUGCUAUUUGACCCAACUGAUCUGUUGUAGGAUAUAUUAGGGGCCGCAUAAAGGGAGGCUACUGGUAGUACCUUGUGCGCCUUUCCCAACUACAGCAUUUCAGAAAACAAAUAGACCAUCAAGACCUCUUUUGGGUUGAGAGAAUUUUAUCUUGUAUACACUUCUUGUACAACCCAUAAGUGUGUAUUGAUGAAGAAGUGAGGGGCUCGGGUCUCCAAGAGAGA
RNAcentral lists this long non-coding RNA (1583 nucleotides) under Phoenix dactylifera (date palm). RNAcentral describes it as "long non-coding RNA (PDAC_LNC006320)". The record is from RNAcentral. Lineage: Eukaryota; Viridiplantae; Streptophyta; Magnoliopsida; Arecales; Arecaceae.